UAGGGGAAUUUUUCGUUCAAUGGGGGGCGAACCCUGAACGAGCAAUGCCGCGUGAGCGAAGAAGGUCUUCGGAUUGUUAAAGCUCUGUUGCCGGGGAAAA
Molecule: ribosomal RNA, 100 nt
Filed under: uncultured bacterium
Lineage: Bacteria
Description: partial 16S ribosomal RNA
Source: RNAcentral